Molecule: long non-coding RNA, 668 nt
Filed under: Marmota monax (woodchuck)
Lineage: Eukaryota; Metazoa; Chordata; Mammalia; Rodentia; Sciuridae
Source: RNAcentral
GGCUACCGUCCCUCCACGCGUCUCAGUCUUCCAGAGACUGCUUGAUCUCUCUCAUCUGCGGUCCUCUCCUCUCUCGUCCUCAUUGUCCUUGUGGGUUUAUGUGAACUCUCUGAGGGCAGAAAUGAUGACUUGUGCACUUUCAGUAUACUUCAGGGCCAAGGACCAGGGUUUAAGGGACAUUUGAAAUUUGAUUGACAUCUAUCCCUAACUACUCUGCAUUUUUUUUUUUAAGUAUUUUAACUGUUCUCUCUUGUCUAGCAUCUACAGCAGGUGUGUUCAACUGACAUCGUCUACUUGGGUGCCAUGUCCAGCUCUCUCUCUUUGUUCCCCCUGACCUGCUGGGAGGGAACCCAGUGUCUCACGUGUGCCAGGCCAGCGCUCCACCACUGAGCUACUGCUGCCACCCUCCAGCUCUGGACAGGUUGCUCGUGCCACUGCUUGUCUGCCAAGGAAGCCUGGAUCCUGCGGGCAUCAGCCCCUCGCCUGUGCCAAGCACCUCUGCCUGCUGUAGCCCGGCUGCCUUCCCUCUAGCCUCCCUGGAAAGGGGAGGAGAGGGGAAGCUCCAAGGAGCUGGAGGGCGCCAGUUUCUCUUCCUCUUUUGAGCAGAGGCAGGGCGCUCUUAAAAUAGCCUUUGGAGCUUGGGGAUAUGAGUACAGGAUAUACACACA